GCCGAGGUGGUGGAACUGGUAGACACGCUAUCUUGAGGGGGUAGUGCGCUAGUCGUGUGCGGGUUCGAGUCCCGCCCUCGGCACCA
This 86-nucleotide transfer RNA is filed under the name Desulfovibrio sp. OttesenSCG-928-A18. RNAcentral describes it as "tRNA-Leu". It matches the Rfam family "tRNA". From Rfam's summary of the family: Transfer RNA (tRNA) molecules are approximately 80 nucleotides in length. Their secondary structure includes four short double-helical elements and three loops (D, anti-codon, and T loops). Further hydrogen bonds mediate the characteristic L-shaped molecular structure. tRNAs have two regions of fundamental functional importance: the anti-codon, which is responsible for specific mRNA codon recognition, and the 3' end, to which the tRNAs corresponding amino acid is attached (by aminoacyl-tRNA synthetases). tRNAs cope with the degeneracy of the genetic code in two manners: having more than one tRNA (with a specific anti-codon) for a particular amino acid; and 'wobble' base-pairing, i.e. permitting non-standard base-pairing at the 3rd anti-codon position. Lineage: Bacteria; Pseudomonadati; Thermodesulfobacteriota; Desulfovibrionia; Desulfovibrionales; Desulfovibrionaceae. The record is from RNAcentral.